Molecule: ribosomal RNA, 254 nt
Filed under: uncultured bacterium
Lineage: Bacteria
Description: partial 16S ribosomal RNA
Rfam family: Bacterial small subunit ribosomal RNA
Source: RNAcentral
UACGGGGGGAGCAAGCGUUGUUCGGAUUUACUGGGCGUAAAGGGCGCGUAGGCGGUCAGCACAAGUCAGUUGUGAAAUCUCCGGGCUUAACUCGGAAAGGUCAACUGAUACUGUGCGACUAGAGUGCGGAAGGGGCAACUGGAAUUCUCGGUGUAGCGGUGAAAUGCGUAGAUAUCGAGAGGAACACCUGCGGCGAAGGCGGGUUGCUGGGCCGACACUGACGCUGAUGCGCGAAAGCCAUGGGAGCGAACGGG